This 196-nucleotide ribosomal RNA is filed under the name uncultured Pseudomonas sp. RNAcentral describes it as "partial 16S ribosomal RNA". It matches the Rfam family "Bacterial small subunit ribosomal RNA", at positions 337 to 525 of the family's 1533-position model. The record is from RNAcentral. Lineage: Bacteria; Pseudomonadati; Pseudomonadota; Gammaproteobacteria; Pseudomonadales; Pseudomonadaceae.
UCCUACGGGAGGCAGCAGUGGGGAAUAUUGGACAAUGGGCGAAAGCCUGAUCCAGCCAUGCCGCGUGUGUGAAGAAGGUCUUCGGAUUGUAAAGCACUUUAAGUUGGGAGGAAGGGCAGUAAGCUAAUACCUUGCUGUUUUGACGUUACCGACAGAAUAAGCACCGGCUAACUUCGUGCCAGCAGCCGCGGUAAUA